UUUGCUUCUCAGCCUUUUGGCUAAGAUCAAGUGUAGAAGUUCUGUUCUUUUUACAUCAGCCAAUCAAGGUUACAACAAAAUCACAUUGUCCAUGAUGAGAGAUAACAGUUGUUCUGUUCGUUUUCUAGGACCUUCU
This 136-nucleotide small nuclear RNA is filed under the name Suricata suricatta (meerkat). RNAcentral's name for it is "U2 spliceosomal RNA (ENSSSUG00005018995.1)". It matches the Rfam family "U2 spliceosomal RNA". From Rfam's summary of the family: U2 is a small nuclear RNA (snRNA) component of the spliceosome (involved in pre-mRNA splicing). Complementary binding between U2 snRNA (in an area lying towards the 5' end but 3' to hairpin I) and the branchpoint sequence (BPS) of the intron results the bulging out of an unpaired adenosine, on the BPS, which initiates a nucleophilic attack at the intronic 5' splice site, thus starting the first of two transesterification reactions that mediate splicing. The record is from Rfam by way of RNAcentral. Lineage: Eukaryota; Metazoa; Chordata; Mammalia; Carnivora; Herpestidae.